UCUACCACACUGCCACCGUCGGUCGCUGCUGUCGAGCUUUGGUCUUCGGCAUCGUCGCUGGCCACAGCAAGAUGGGAAAUGUUCGCUCUCCUCUGCUCAUCUCAGACAGCAGCAGCACAUGCGCAGCUGCAGGAGAAGUCGUGGCACCGACAACCGUAGGCGAGCAGAGUGCCGCAGCUUCAGUCCCAACGUCCAGAUCCAAAUGGAUUUGGCGGAAGAGGAGGCAGAGGUCGUAAAGUCUUCUUUUCCUUGAAAUGUGGUGAUAUCACAUCUUGGAAGAACUCUCACGCAUUACCUGAUUUAUCUCAUUGCGGUGCCUUAUUCUAGUGAUGGACAAUUCGAAAGGUUUAGUUGGGCGUGAAUUCGUCGACCGUCGAGUUUCACAUCAUGUUGUAGUUUUUGUUGUUUCUGAUAUUUGUCAGCGUUGUGUCGCCAUCUGCGUCAUAGAAUUGGUAGACUUUAAUUUUGCUGGUGAUGUGUCUGUUGGGUAGCAGAUUUGGCUGGCUUAAAAUUAUACCUUACUCAAUCACGCCACAGCUUGUAGCAUCUAUAUAUCUCACAAACGCAUGCAUAUUAUAAUAUAUGUCGGCUAGCUGAGAGGACCAUAUGUAGACAUACCUAUGAAGGAUCAAUUAGCAUACGUGCUUAGGAAAGAGAGAUCCAUGAACGCAACUAUUCUCAUCCAGACGCAUGUGUACGUGUGUGUUUCUGUUAUGCUCCAUCGCGCUGGCCCCUUGACUUUAGUUGAUCAUGCCGCCGCCAUUGCGAGUCACCGGCCAUGCAGCCAAGCUGCUACGUUCCUGUCCCGCUGCAGCAUCCUCACCAUCGGUGCGCCGGCAAGAUCGCAUGAAGCUUGAGGAGGCUAGGUGCCAUGCUUUGUUGCUUCGGAAGCUGGAACCUACACUCCAACUCAUGGUAGGAUUUGACUUGCCUAUGUAUUUGGCUUGCUGAUUUUAAAGAAGACGCCGCGGGUGCUAGCGAUAAUGUCAAUCAUGUGUUUUGUCGUGUUCCUGUCUCCAAGAAAACCGUAUGUGUGCGUGUUUCCGAUGAAUACAUAUUGUGGACGGCACAUGUAUGGUACUACUUCCGUUUUUAACCAUCUAGUAGACCGAAGUUUGUUUUUCUUCUUUUGACUUGAGCCCAGGAUUUCCUCUGUUACGUGAUUUUGAACAUAUACGUGUCAGAUGGAAAAUAUAUGUACAUAAUAUUGUUGCACGUAACUUUUAGAUUCUUUUAAUCUUGGCUGUCAAAAUCAAGAUCGCCGGAGCAUAUAUUUCUAACCUAUGUGGAUGAACCUG
Triticum dicoccoides is the source of this 1298-nucleotide long non-coding RNA. RefSeq lists it as uncharacterized. NCBI's taxonomy places the organism in Eukaryota, Viridiplantae, Streptophyta, Magnoliopsida, Poales, Poaceae. The transcript is spliced from 3 exons. The record is from RefSeq and is a predicted model, not a curated record.